GACGAACGCUGGCGGCGUGCCUAAUACAUGCAAGUCGAACGCAUUUUCUUUCACCGUAGCUUGCUACACCGAAAGAAAAUGAGUGGCGAACGGGUGAGUAACACGUGGGUAACCUGCCCAUCAGCGGGGGAUAACACUUGGAAACAGGUGCUAAUACCGCAUAAUUCCAUUUACUGCAUGGUAGAUGGAUGAAAGGCGCUUUUGCGUCACUGAUGGAUGGACCGGCGGUGCAUUAGUUAGUUGGUGGGGUAAGGGCCUACCAAGGCUGCGAUGCAUAGCCGACCUGAGAGGGUGAUCGGCCACACUGGGACUGAGACACGGCCCAGACUCCUACGGGAGGCAGCAGUAGGGAAUCUUCGGCAAUGGACGCAAGUCUGACCGAGCAACGCCGCGUGAGUGAAGAAGGUUUUCGGAUCGUAAAACUCUGUUGUUAGAAAAGAACAAGGAUGAGAGUGGAAAGUUCAUCCCUUGACGGUAUCUAACCAGAAAGCCACGGCUAACUACGUG
Molecule: ribosomal RNA, 507 nt
Filed under: uncultured bacterium
Lineage: Bacteria
Description: partial 16S ribosomal RNA
Rfam family: Bacterial small subunit ribosomal RNA
Source: RNAcentral